Molecule: small nucleolar RNA, 110 nt
Organism: Zingiber officinale
Lineage: Eukaryota; Viridiplantae; Streptophyta; Magnoliopsida; Zingiberales; Zingiberaceae
Source: RefSeq, a predicted model, not a curated record
AGUCCAUGAUGUGGGCAUUGUCUGAGAAUAUUAUUAAAUCUAUCCCACGCUUUAAAUAAUGAUUCUGAGUCUGACAGUCUGAAGCUUGCUAUCAAAUUUCUUAUAUGACU